This 88-nucleotide long non-coding RNA is filed under the name Chinchilla lanigera (long-tailed chinchilla). RNAcentral's name for it is "lncRNA (ENSCLAG00000025628.1)". The record is from RNAcentral. Lineage: Eukaryota; Metazoa; Chordata; Mammalia; Rodentia; Chinchillidae.
UCAGUCUCCACUUCUCUGCCAAUGUGACUCAAGGAGAUGCUCUGAGCCCCACUGUGGGUCCUGCCUGUGACAUGCAACAUGCAACUCA